RNAcentral lists this long non-coding RNA (962 nucleotides) under Citrus x clementina. RNAcentral describes it as "Citrus clementina (C. clementina) long non-coding RNA (CCLE_LNC002801)". Lineage: Eukaryota; Viridiplantae; Streptophyta; Magnoliopsida; Sapindales; Rutaceae. The record is from RNAcentral.
CGGAUUACUUCCUUUUAAUAAAUGUCAAUACACUAUAUUUGAUAAUACUAUAAAAAUGUAAUAAACAUUGUCUUGUGCUGUUUUCUUCAACUACAGAUCCUCAAUUGAAUCAGUCAAUCAGGUUAGAAAUCAAAUGCUUAAAAUACCAAUUGGAGAAACAAUAUAGAAGUUGAAUAUUGCAUGCAUAUGAAACAUCAAUUCAAGCCCUCACUUAACCAGUGUGCACCAAGCAAAUCCAAAGUGUCUUGCAAUUAUGUAGCAUGACCAAAAUGCUAUAAAUGCAUCUGGGAACAAAUUUUUGAAGUAGAGGAAAACGUGCAAGUUGAAUCAUGUAUAAGAGAUCGGCUUGGGUCGAGAUAGCUUCUUCUUUAUACUUGAAGGGUGGGCUCAAUCUUGUCUUUAGAAUUCUGCAUGUUUGUAAUUAUACAUGUGUAAGCAAGCAUACAUUACCAUAAUAAUAACAAUAAGAAAAAAGAAGCAAAUGUUAUGAUACGACUAUAAACUCCAUCAGACAAACAAUAAUGUAUAAAUUAAUGUGACAUAAUAUGAUUGAUUAAACAAAAACAUCACAUGGACCACUUGAUUUAUUUUUUAUUAUUAUAUAUUUUCAGUCGACCAAUCAUAUUAUACCAUAUCAAUUUCUACAAAAUAAUUUGGUAGUUAGCGCCAAUACUUAGUUAAUUAAUACUGACCAUUUCAUUGAACAAUUUAUGUAUGGUGUCAUUGAGGUUGCCUUCCCAGCAUCCUUCUUAUUUUUCGGUGAGUUUCACUUUAUUUAGCGUUGGCGUGCCUAUGAUUCCUUGAGAGAAAAUCUUCAUCUUUGGGCACUGUCUCACAAGUACUUGUUUCAAGGACGGGAACUCAAGAGUGUAAUUACCUGAAUAAAAGCUUGUUAGGCUUGGCAAACAGUCAAGUCCCAAGUACUCCAAUUUCCCGAAAACAAUGCAAUCUUUCGCUUCUUC